GUCCGCUUUCCUUGCUGAUGGAGAGGAAUAGUGUCACUCCCAUUUGACUCGGUAACCCGGCAGCUUCCUGUCUUAAACGCAGAGCUGGCGCGCAGGACACUCCUCCUGCAGACACUUAUUACACAAGUUCAUCUGCACCUCGUGCAAAGCAGCCCUGAAAGCUCAGGCUUGAAGACAAAAUGUGGAGCCCAGGCUCCUUCGAUUGAAAACCUCUCUACGAGGACACUCUCCGCAGUGGGCGGCCAGAAAGGAUUUCGGAUCAAGAUCCGCAGAGUGGUGAGCAUCUCCCAGGGUCCGGGGCUGAACUGACUGCAGGCUGGUAGCCCUUCGGCCCGGAGGAGAAUCUCCUUUCUGCAGAAACUACCCCUGGAAAACAAAACCGAGCGAAAAGAAGGGCAAUGCGGGUCUGCGCGGAAGGGAGCUCCCUUCCCGGGGAAGGAGGCGCCUCGCGGUGGCACACUCGCCGGCGGGAUGUAGGUAGGGGCAGACUAGGGUGAGAAGGGGGACUUGCGGAACACGGGUCUCCCGCGGGUCCGAGGGACAGGGUGCAGGCGCAUUCCAGGCACCUAGGGCAGUCCAGUCUGCUCUGCGGAGCGGGAGCCGGCCCCAGGCUCUCCACAUCUCCCAGGAAUCCAGAAGCUCGACUGCGGGACAGUUGUGUCGAUGGGGACCCCCCCAGCUGGAUUUUCAUUCCACUUGCUCCCUUGAUCGAGUGCUCACGCCCGGCAGGAGCUGGCUGUGCGCCGCCCCGGGUGGGUGGAGGUGCGUGGGGCUCGGGCCUUGGCUCGCUUGGGUGUGUCCCAGUCUUUUUCCUCCAGAAUUAAAGGCCUCUGCAGGGCGCAGAGCCCCUCUCCCCCUCUCCUAACUCUCCUCCCCACCUCGCCGCGGCCUAAGCUAAGAUGAGGUGAGCUUCCAGGGCUGUGUCCCUAGGAGGCCCCGAGCACUUUUCCUCCGAGGGUCGAAGAAAUCAGGUCCCCUCUCUUUCCCCAGCGCCCUCUGAGGAAGCCGCGAACCUCUGAGCGAGCGUGGUUUUACUGGGGAUUCCUAGCGACCUGCCCUGUGCCCAGCGACGCCCCAAGGGGAGAGGAGCUCUGUGGAGGGGCGGUGUGGGGGUGGGUGUCUACACUACAUCCUCUGGCUCGGAGCAGGACCCGGUGAUGCGCCCUGGCCGAGCUCCUGUCUCCUAGGAAUGCGGGUGCCUCGGGCCCUGUCGGGACCCUUGGUUCGACCGGAGGGCCCGGGAGUGGGAGCCUGGAUCCAACAGGCACCCGGAUCCAGGAGUCAGACUCCUUGGUUCCGAACGUUUCUUCCGGAGCGAAAGCUUGCUCCCCCUUCCCCCAAGUCCCUCGCGGGCUGGGAGGUGAAGGGAGCGACAGAAGCCGGGCCUCCUCCGCAGCGCCCAACGCCCCGGGCUCUCCGGGUCCCGGGACGUGGCUCGGGUGCGUGGAGGGACGGCUGGGGGCGCAGAUUUGUGAAUGAACCUCGGAGCUCUUUGCAGCUCACAGAUCAGAGGCUGCGAUCGCCCCACCGACGUGGUCCAAUGAGCCGCCGCAAUAAGCUCUGAGCGACGAAACGGAGGCACGGCCUGGACUCUGCGGCACCGCGCUGCGCAGGGCCGGACGGGGGAGGGGCUGAGCCACUGCAGCAACUUCAAAGCCUGUGUCGGGGCUCAGCAAUGGGUGGGCUCUCCCCGGGCCGCACGGUUCUCAAGGGCCUCCCCCGACCCCCACCGCCACCCCGUCGGAACGCCCAGAGGCGUUCCCAGCCCAAGUGAUGGAGACUCUGACUCCCAGUUGUCUCCGCGCCCUCCGCUUGCGCGUCCUUGGCGUCUCCCCCGGGACCCGGGGGGCGAUCACAUUCUGAGACCUAAUCCGGUUACUUCCGGGCGUGGG
RNAcentral lists this long non-coding RNA (1892 nucleotides) under Homo sapiens (human). Its description in RNAcentral is "non-protein coding lnc-CNPY1-1:2". The record is from RNAcentral. Lineage: Eukaryota; Metazoa; Chordata; Mammalia; Primates; Hominidae.